GUUGAAAUCAUUGCCGUUGGAGCACCUGCAGGGGGUGCUCUUGUUAUAAUUGACGAUGAUGGCCUUGAUAUGCACUAUAUGACACAGAUGCACUCUCUAGCACCUUUUGGGGCAGACUUAUUUUCUGAAGAUAGGGUAGAGGACAACAUGACAUGGAACUUUGUGGCUGGACUAACUGUUUCUCGAGAAAUACUGGAGAGUUAUGGAUGUGUUGUGCGGGUGAUUUCACCAAGAGUAACAGAUGCUGCAAUUGGAACCGGAGGAACCCGUAUAGAACUCUGGUUUCCCUCUUUUUCUGCUUCAUCUGUUGUAGAUGGCCCUUCUCACGAGGCUUAACAAAGAUUGAGGAUUCCACUGUCAUUUUUAUCUAGUUUUUAAAAGGCCAAAAACAUACAACAAAUUCCUGCUUAAUCCUUUGCAGAUCCUGAGAUGGAAAAUUUGAAAGACGAUCUACUUUAAAGAUUCAUCUAGUGACACAAAUCUGCCAAAUGACUAAUUUCCAUCCUACUGGGAUUGUGA
Molecule: unclassified non-coding RNA, 519 nt
Filed under: Hevea brasiliensis (rubber tree)
Lineage: Eukaryota; Viridiplantae; Streptophyta; Magnoliopsida; Malpighiales; Euphorbiaceae
Source: RNAcentral